ACACAUGCAAGUCGAACGAAGCACUUUAUUUGAUUUCCUUCGGGACUGAUUAUUUUGUGACUGAGUGGCGGACGGGUGAGUAACGCGUGGGUAACCUGCCUUGUACAGGGGGAUAACAGUUGGAAACGGCUGCUAAUACCGCAUAAGCGCACGGCAUCGCAUGAUGCAGUGUGAAAAACUCCGGUGGUAUAAGAUGGACCCGCGUUGGAUUAGCUAGUUGGUGAGGUAACGGCCCACCAAGGCGACGAUCCAUAGCCGACCUGAGAGGGUGACCGGCCACAUUGGGACUGAGACACGGCCCAAACUCCUACGGGAGGCAGCAGUGGGGAAUAUUGCACAAUGGGCGAAAGCCUGAUGCAGCGACGCCGCGUGAGCGAAGAAGUAUUUCGGUAUGUAAAGCUCUAUCAGCAGGGAAGAUAAUGACGGUACCUGACUAAGAAGCACCGGCUAAAUACGUGCCAGCAGCCGCGGUAAUACGUAUGGUGCAAGCGUUAUCCGGAUUUACUGGGUGUAAAGGGAGCGCAGGCGGUGCGGCAAGUCUGAUGUGAAAGCCCGGGGCUUAACCCCGGUACUGCAUUGGAAACUGUCGUACUAGAGUGUCGGAGGGGUAAGCGGAAUUCCUAGUGUAGCGGUGAAAUGCGUAGAUAUUAGGAGGAACACCAGUGGCGAAGGCGGCUUACUGGACGAUAACUGACGCUGAGGCUCGAAAACGUGGGGAGCAAACAGGAUUAGAUACCCUGGUAGUCCACGCCGUAAA
RNAcentral lists this ribosomal RNA (757 nucleotides) under uncultured bacterium. Its description in RNAcentral is "bacterial SSU rRNA". It matches the Rfam family "Bacterial small subunit ribosomal RNA", at positions 51 to 806 of the family's 1533-position model. The record is from RNAcentral.